ACGCUGGCGGCGUGCCUAACACAUGCAAGUCGAACGAGAUGCGUAUCGGAAAGCUUCGGCCGGAAGAUGCGUUAUCUAGUGGCGGACGGGUGAGUAACACGUGGGUAACCUGCCUUAUGGAGGGGGAUAACAGAGAGAAAUCACUGCUAAUACCGCAUAAGCACACAUUGCCGCAUGGCAGAGUGUGAAAAGAUUUAUCGCCAUAAGAUGGACCCGCGUCUGAUUAGCCAGUUGGCAGGGUAAAAGCCUACCAAAGCAACGAUCAGUAGCCGAUCUGAGAGGAUGACCGGCCACAUUGGGACUGAGACACGGCCCAAACUCCUACGGGAGGCAGCAGUGGGGAAUAUUGCACAAUGGGGGAAACCCUGAUGCAGCGACGCCGCGUGAGUGAAGAAGUAUUUCGGUAUGUAAAGCUCUAUCAGCAGGGAAGAUAAUGACAGUACCUGACUAAGAAGCCCCGGCUAACUACGUGCCAGCAGCCGCGGUAAUACGUAGGGGGCAAGCGUUAUCCGGAUUUACUGGGUGUAAAGGGAGCGUAGACGGAAUGGCAAGUCUGAAGUGAAAACCCCGGGCUCAACCUGGGGACUGCUUUGGAAACUGUUGUUCUAGAGUGUUGGAGAGGUAAGUGGAAUUCCUGGUGUAGCGGUGAAAUGCGUAUAUAUCAGGAAGAACACCGGAGGCGAAGGCGGCUUACUGGACAAUAACUGACGUUGAGGCUCGAAAGCGUGGGGAUCAAACAGGAUUAGAUACCCUGGUAGUCCACGCUGUAAACGAUGAAUACUAGGUGUCGGGGAGCAAAGUUUCUCGGUGCCGUCGCUAACGCAAUAAGUAUUCCACCUGGGGAGUACGUUCGCAAGAAUGAAACUCAAAGGAAUUGACGGGGACCCGCACAAGCGGUGGAGCAUG
Molecule: ribosomal RNA, 906 nt
Filed under: uncultured bacterium
Lineage: Bacteria
Description: bacterial SSU rRNA
Rfam family: Bacterial small subunit ribosomal RNA
Source: RNAcentral